CUAGCCAGAUACACUUAUAGUUAAUAUGGCUUUAUAGCAAUGUUUGUAGCAGUAAUAACACAUGUUAGAUAAAAGUAGACCAUCAUAGUAUAAUUGUGAGGUGUUUCUUUUCUUAAAGCUGAAUAUCUCCUGCAUAUAGUAAUAGUAGCAUUGCUCACAAGAAUGAGCUUAUUAAGCUUGCAGUUGACCAUGAAUUAAGUGUAAGGCAACGAUGGGUAUUUGUAUUUAUUGGAGCUGCAGACACGUUAUAUUUGUAAAAAGGUGCAAUUAUUCAUUUUACUUAACAGUGGGUAAUCUUUCACAAUGACUUGCAGGUGGGCUCCUGGUGGCAUAUGGGUGAAAAGAAGAUAAAUUAUAGUUUUUGAAAAGUGGGUGCCCCAUAGGGGUGCCCACAUGGGUGCCCGAUAGGGUGCCCAUUAGAGGGCCCGAAGGAGCCCGCAAAGAAAAAUAAUCACGAAGUGGAACCGAGCGAAAUAUGUGCAGGUGUGCACCCACAUGCCUGCCCUGUGCCCACAUGCCUGCCCUGUGCCCACAUGCCUGCCCUGUGCCCACAUGCCUGCCCUGUGCCCACAUGCCUGCCCUGUGCCCACAUGCCUGCCCCGAAGGGGCAAUAAUUUAACGAAGUAGAACCGAGAAAUGGGUGCCCGAUAGGGUACCCAUAUGGGUGCCCCGCAGGGGUGCCCAUUGAGGCCCACGAAGUGUGGCCGAUAAUUUAGGCCAUAAAAUGGUGCUCGAAGUGAUGGGUGCCUGAAAUGGCUUAAACUUUUUGAAUCCCGAAGGGAUAUCCCCGAAGGGGAUUAGAGGGCCCGAAGGAGCCCGGUAAUAUUGGCCAAAAUAAAUCUCAAAGACCCUACCGCUAAUUUUGGCCUAGAUCACGAUAAUUUUGGCCAAAAUUGCCCUUCAGGGCAUUCGCACACGCGCGUAUAAAAGAUUGCGACUUAUAAUGUGCACCCCGAAGGGGUGCACAUAUGGGGCACCCUUUAGGGUGCCCCAUUAUAAUGGGUGCCCUUUAGGGCACCCAUAUGCACCCCGAAGGGGUGCAUUAUAGGAGCCGGGAACGAGCCGAAGGCGAGUGGACGUGCGACCACUAAAAAGAAAAAAGAAAUCGCGACCUAUAAUGGGUGCCCCUGUGGGGCACCCAUAUGCAUGCCCCCACAGGGGGCAUGCAUUAAUGGGCUGGGUGCCCUACCCAGCCCAUAUGGGCCCACACUUCGUGGGGCCCAUAACGCCCUUCGGGCUUCAAAAAUAAAAAUAAAAUCACAUGUGGGUGAACAUGGGGCACCCAUGUGACCAUGCCAGCAACCAAGCCAAAAUUACUUUAGGCCAAAAUUAACGUGAAGUAGGUCAAUAUGUGCGGCUAUGUGUUGACUCCUGUAUGCCCCUACCCCCACCUCCAACCUCCUCCCCCACUGAAAUGUGU
Molecule: ribosomal RNA, 1420 nt
Filed under: Cladocopium sp. C3
Lineage: Eukaryota; Dinophyceae; Suessiales; Symbiodiniaceae
Description: partial 16S ribosomal RNA
Source: RNAcentral